Molecule: ribosomal RNA, 391 nt
Filed under: uncultured bacterium
Lineage: Bacteria
Description: bacterial SSU rRNA
Rfam family: Bacterial small subunit ribosomal RNA
Source: RNAcentral
GACGAACGCUGGCGGCGUGCUUAACACAUGCAAGUCGAGCGGGAUCCAACCGGUGGCAACACCGGGGAAGAUCUAGCGGCGAACGGGUGAGUAACACGUGAGCAACCUGCCCCGAAGACUGGGAUAACACCGGGAAACCGGUGCUAAUACCGGAUGUCGUCAUUAGGCCGCAUGACCUGAUGAUGAAAGGAUUCAUCGCUUCGGGGAGGGGCUCGCGGGCUAUCAGCUUGNGGGUGGGGUAACGGCCUACCAAGGCGACGACGGCUAGCUGGUCUGAGAGGACGACCAGCCACACUGGGACUGAGACACGGCCCAGACUCCUACGGGAGGCAGCAGUGGGGAAUCUUGCGCAAUGGGCGAAAGCCUGACGCAGCAACGCCGCGGUGGGGGA